GAUUUUUGUUGGUCCAACACUUAGAAAAAAUAUUUUUCAGUUCACUCGUAGCCACACGAAGUCGUCUGGCUUCUACAAGAAAAUCCACUCGAAAACUAGCACAGAUCAGGAGCUUGGAGGUGCUAGCCUGCAAGCAACUUUGAUGACUGAUCUCUUUCUUUUUCUUCAAACACCUUGGAUACUUCAAAAGAUGAAGGGAUCUAGAGGAGGAAGAGAGGAGGAGGAGAAGAGAUCUGAAAAAAUAAAAAAUCAGCAAGAAAAAUGAUGUUAUGAUGCCAAGAAUAGGGGACCCCUUUUUAUAGGCAAGGAAUUAGGGUUUUCAUCUAAGGGAGGGCGCC
Molecule: long non-coding RNA, 338 nt
Filed under: Elaeis guineensis (African oil palm)
Lineage: Eukaryota; Viridiplantae; Streptophyta; Magnoliopsida; Arecales; Arecaceae
Description: long non-coding RNA (EGUI_LNC054817)
Source: RNAcentral